This 464-nucleotide ribosomal RNA is filed under the name Haptophyta environmental samples. RNAcentral's name for it is "SSU rRNA". It matches the Rfam family "Eukaryotic small subunit ribosomal RNA", at positions 432 to 900 of the family's 1831-position model. Lineage: Eukaryota; Haptophyta. The record is from RNAcentral.
GCGCGUAAAUUGCCCGAAUCCUGACACAGGGAGGUAGUGACAAGAAAUAACAAUACAGGGCUAUCUUAGUCUUGUAAUUGGAAUGAGUACAAUUUACAUCUCUUCACGAGGAUCAAUUGGAGGGCAAGUCUGGUGCCAGCAGCCGCGGUAAUUCCAGCUCCAAUAGCGUAUAUUAAAGUUGUUGCAGUUAAAACGUUCGUAGUCGGAUUUCGGGGCGGGCCGACCGGUCUGCCGAUGGGUAUGCACUGGCCGGCGCGUCCUUCCUUCCGGAGACCGCGCCUACUCUUAGCUGAGCGGGCGCGGGAGACGGAUCGUUUACUUUGAAAAAAUCAGAGUGUUUCAAGCAGGCAGCUCGCUCUUGCAUGGAUUAGCAUGGGAUAAUGAAAUAGGACUUUGGUGCUAUUUUGUUGGUUUCGAACACCGAAGUAAUGAUUAACAGGGACAGUCAGGGGCACUCGUAUUCC